AGAUUUAUCAAUUUAUGCUCCUCUGGUACUGAAAAUGCAGAUUCAUAUUUAGGGAACACAUUCAAAGUAUGUCUAUCUUUGCAGCUCAGAAAUGCAGAAGCAUAAAUAAGCCAAUUAAUUAGAACAUAAUGUUUAAUAACCUAUACAGCGUAAAUAUGAUCAGUGAUUUUUACUACCAUGGUAAUCAUUGUUUUAGCAUUCAGUUAUACAGAAUAAUGUAUUAUAGUGAGAUUCGGUUCACUUACCACAAAAAGCGAGCAGAAGAAGUCAUAUGGGGAGAAGGUGAACAGGCAACAGCAACUGCAGCUGAUUCCAGAAGCUCAUGCUGCCACUUGUCUGGUGUGAACCAGAACUGGUGAAUGAAAUCAUUAUUCAUCUUCCUCCUUGCAAUUUCAGUUCUCGCUUUUUCUAAAAGCAUUGCCAACAGAUCUAAGUAAUGAACUUCCUGUGGCCCAGGCUCAGAUUCGGAUUUUUCUUGAUUAAUUGCAUAUGAAAGGAUCAUCUGCCAUUGCUCAGAGAAAUAUUCAUCAUUGAGCAAUGCAAGCAAUAGAUCAAGUCGAGCAUUGGGGGAGGAAUUAUAUUCAAGCAAACACCAAGGAACAAAUGUUCCUUCGAAAACUUGCAUGAAAAGCUCUGGUCCCAAUUCUUUGUCUUUGUGGGCAGGUACAUAAUAGGAGGAAUUCGCUUCAUUGGAGAUGCAAAGUUCUUGGACUAUCUUCUGCGGGCCAAAUAAUGAAACUGCAACUGAUAAAAGUCUCACACCAUCUGGUGUGUCCUGAGAUCAAGAGAAAAUUUAAGAGUAAAUAUUUGAGUAAGAAUGUGAUAUUAAACAACAAUAUGAAAGAAAGAGAAAGUUGUCAACUUAAAAACAAAAUACGAGCUCUCUUUGAGGAUUCGGAAACAAAAUUGAAAAAAAUCAUAAAAAUCUACAAAUACAAUUCUUGCUAAGCAUUUUAAGGGUUAAGUUGAGCAACAUUAACUUACAUGAGAUCUUAUCAACGGGAAAGACUUCGCCAACAUUGGUCCCACUACAUAAACCAAGGGCCAACUUUCACCUUUUCGCACAGAAUGUUUUUCCAGCAGUGACAAGAACUUAAUGACCUGUUCUACAUUCUCAGUAGUACUUUCUGUGUUUCCCAUUGGCUGAAACAUCCGGAGGCAGUUUUCCUUAAAUACCACAGAGAAAGUAGAAAGCAGAUCAUGCUCCAGUAAAUAAACGCCAGAUAGAAUUUCCACAAUACAUUUUCCCAACUCUUGAAAAUAACUCCUAGAAUACUUGAUCUUCAGUGGUUCUACUGACUUAUGGUGAAAAGGUAAAUUUCCAUGCUCCAAAGAAUUCCCAGGUGCUCCAGAGGUUACUCCGUCCUGAUUCUUCAAUCUGACAGAAAAUAGGUAUUCUUGCCACAGAAGUUUCACAAGAAUAUUGUCCACAAGACUGACUUGAAAAUGAUGUGUGGAAUCUGAAUCAUCACAAAUCCUGACAUCAAAAGAGUUAGAAUACCAUAAAACUAAAACAAAUACCCAAAAAUACUAAACAAGAUCACCAGAUCCAUCAUUGGACACAAGCAAUUGUAUGAAACUGAAGAUAGAAUGUCAUGAGAACAGCUAAGCAAAAUCGCACCUAGAUGCAUUACAUAGCCCCCAUAGAAAACAUUCUUUAAGUGCACGAAAAAAUGCUAGACGAUCCGGAUUUGUUGCAUUGGAUGGGUUCCUUCCAUCCCAUAGGUUUUGGAAAAAAUCAAUAAAAAACUUUUCUCCAGAGAUUGCUUUUGGAGGCAGAAUGUCUAGCAAUAUAACUAGAGCAGGAUAAGAGACCUGCUGAGAUCCAAAGCACCCAUUUCUAAGAAAAUGCCACAACCGGUUUAUUGCAGUUUUCUGAACAUUGAACGAAGUCCAGCUGUCAGGAAAUCUUUUUGAAAAUAAUAAUAUUGCAUCCCACAUUGAUGAAUGACAAGUAGGAUCCUUUUCCUGAAAAGCACCAAGUAUUGCAGCUGCAAGAGUUUUCAUAUUUCCUUCAUUAAAAGCAUCAGGAAUAUUUUUAAUGAAACUCUUUAAUGCAGAAUAUGUCGCUGACCGGAUUGCAGGGGUUUUGGACUUCAGAAAGUCAAGAAAAUAGUUCUGAGUAGAAAACAACUUUUCACCAAAAGAAAUAGCAGUUUCCCUAGCCUUUGAAGCAUGUUUUGGUUCUGAGGAUAUGUUCUCAAAACCAGGUCUCUCAGAUUGCAUACAGACCAAAACAUCAAGAAGAGUGGCCAAUGCCAGUAAUGACGAAGAUAUCACCUAAAAUCACACAAAAAAAAGUACCAACAAAUUCAUUAGUGGGAAAACAGCAAAACAGGGGCUACGUAAAGCAAACCCAGUAGCAACAAUUGAGGUAUGAUUUUGAGCACAGAAACAUCAGGUUUUAGAAAACACACCAGCUUUUAGAAGGAAAAAAAAACCAUGAUUUUGACUAUUAUCAGUCUUUCAUUUCAAAGAUAACAUAAAAAAUAAAAAAUUUUAAAUUUAAUUAGUCAAAACUCAAAUUUCAAUUCUAAACAAAUUUUAUAUAUUCAAGGAUUAUCCAAGAAUAUUUUGAUCAAGAUACACAUUUUUACAUCACAUGAACUGAUUUGCUUUGAACUUAAUGUUUACUGUCAUUGAAGUAAACCCUUUACAGUUUUUCCUUUCUGUCAUUUUAUGUUCAUUUUCUCCAUCAUUCAAGCUGCAGAUGGUAUGUUUUAAUAGCAUAUUGAAAAACAAAAGACAGAGAACAAAUAAGUGGUAAAAAAAUAUAGUUAAUCAAUCAAAGGGAUAGAAACAAAGAAUCAUAGCAUACCUGCUGGUACAUCUCUUCUAAUUCAUCCAAAGCAGUUACUUUAUCUGAUGACAUACUUUGUGGUGUGUGAUUCAGGUUUUCUUCCAAAUACAUAAAUAUCUCAGAUGUGCAUAGAAUUAAGGCAUCUAAUCUCUUUUCCUGAGCUGGGAAGGCUGCCUGUUGCACACAAUAUACAGUAAGACCAUAACAAAUUCAUUAGCAACAAAAACUUGAACAUUAGUUGCUUACUCAAAGCUCACAUGAGCUAUCAUACAUUAAAGGACUGUGCCCCAGAAAUAAAUGGAAGUAAAAGUUCAUGAAGAAGCCAGUAACACUUUGCAAAUACCAAUUAAACAUACUAAUUCUUUUCUGAAAGGAAUAAAACUAAAAUAUUUGUACCAGAGUAAUCACGAUCAAAAACCAAUAUAUAUAAAUAUCAGUCAAUUUAUUUUCUGCUAACCAUGAGUAUCCUUAGAUACUUAGACAGAAUGCAAAAUGUCACUAAUCAGAUAUUCAUACUUUGUAUGUAUAAUCAGGUAUUCACAAUGCAAAAUGACAGAGAACAAUUGUCCCAGGAGUUUAUAGACCAGAUUGACAAGGUCAAGCCCGAAAAGAAGUCCUUGAAGAAACCAAGAAGCAUCUCAUAUGAAACUUAAAGUUACUGUUUUUCUAUUUUAAUUAUUUUGCUAGUUAAUUUUGGAUUUUAAUUUUUUGUUUCCCACUUAGCUUAGGACUUUUAAUUUAAUUAGUAUUUUACUAUUUAGGAAUCUUAAUGCUAGAUGAAUUCUAUUAAUUAGGUAAGUUUUAAUUAGGAAUCUUUUCCUUUAAAGGAUUUUAGUAAUAAUAUAAAUAGGGAUGUCUAGUUUAUUUUAUAGAGAUCAAGACUAUUAUUCACAUUUAAUAAAAAUAUCAGAGAAUUUUCCCUAGAUUUCUCAACAAUUUGGUUUGUAACCUUAGGUCUUGAGAACCCUAGUUUUAUCUUCGUUGUAUGUUGCGUCACAAAAUUUUGAAAAAGAAUAUAUUCCUACUCUUUGUAUAAUCAGAUAUUCACGAUGCAAAAUUUCAGAAAAGAAUAUCAGAAAUUCUGAGUAAUUUCCAGACAAAUAUAACCAAAGUUGUGUUAGACUGAACCAGAAUGCAGGCCCACAUUAUAAAACAGGUCAACCCCAUCAAUCUUCCAGAAUACUGACUGGAGUGCCACCCAGCUUGAUUUUCAUUUAACUCUAUUUGAACAGGCUUAAUCAAAUAAAUUAUCAGUGUGUUUCUUCCCCUCUUAUAGAUCAUGAAAAUUUCGAUAUUCACACCAGCAAACUGCUUUUUCAGCAUCUGUCUGCUAUUUUAUUGGCAGAUUCCUUAUCUGCCACUUCUAGCAAAAGAAACAAUGGCAACCUUCUAAAGCUUGAAUGAAAUGAUAGCAAACCUCCAAUGAUCUUUUGGCAGCUAAAGAAACUUCAGGAACUGUAUCAAAUUGAGAAAACCACCACGGUCCCAUCAAAGACUUCAGAUACGGAGCUAAAUCUCUUCUGAGAAAAAAUAAGAUCCACAGCAAGUUAUUAGCAUGGACUAAGAAUCAUGCACCCUUAAACAAUCAUAUUAAAAAGAAGCUAAAACAUUCUAACAAUCUGCCAACAUGAUGGCAUCAGAAAAGGUAGAAUACAAAGGAUGUACAGAAUUCCAUCCAUUUACUAAUAUUUCCAAACAGUUCUUAUUUUACAGUAGGGAAAAUCAAAAGUCCCCAGUAAGAAUUAUGAAUGAGAAAUGUCCUUUACCCAACUGCUGUAACAAGAUUUGUCAUGGUCUCAUUUGUGGCUCGUCGAACUUCUCUAUUAUAGUCCAACAACAGCUUCUUGUAUUCAUAACCCUGAAUGCAAAAUAACAUUCAAAAAAUGUGAACUGAAUAAAGUUUUCUUCAAAUAAGAGUGAGACAGAGGAAAUAGAAAACCAAAAAGAAGAAAAGAAACUAUACCCAUUGUGGAAUAAUCAGAACUAUUUCCUUUCCAGACUUUUCCUUGAACAGAGCAGAUAGAGUUUGCAAAGCUUUAAGCUGUCCAAAACAUUAAAAACACCACAAUAAGCUUCUUCUACUACUACUAUGCAGUAAUUCAUAAAGCAUGAUCAAAUAUUCCCUUUUCUUUUGUUCAUCUUAACAAAAAGUGGGAUAUAUCUUACCUUUGUAGUAGGAUCCUUCCUUCCUAAUCGCUUUACAUGUUGUGCCACUUCGCCAUCUAUAUCCUACAAACAACCCAACCAAAAAUUUUUUUAAAAAAAAAUCCAAGAAACCAUUAUAGCAAUAAGCUUCCAUUUUUACACCUUCAGCAUACAAAUAAUCACUAUCAGCUUCACUAAUUACAUGAAUCACCAACAAAACCAAUCCAUAUCACAAAACCUGCAUUUAAAAGCGCUUUUCAGAAGCACAAAAUUGGUCUUUUUUCAGGCGGAAAGCACUUUACGUCCCAAAAGCAACAAACUUUCUAAAACUUCUGUUAGAAAAUCCCUAAAUUAAUAUCAUUUAGGCACAAAUAAUCACUAAUUACAAGAAUUAACUAACAAAACCAAUGCCAAUUUAAUUUAACUUCAGCAGAAGCAUAAAGCACGCAUACCAAAAAGGCGGUAGUAUCAUCUGUAUCAAAACGAGAGCUACCAAUAUAACCACCGAACCCCACCGUUACCGCCGCCGGACCCGACGGCACUAGAGACGCCGCAAGACUGCAAAAUCAUAUCAGAAAAUCACAAAACUAUCAUUUAAUUAAAAAAAAACUUAAUUUCUCUUUAAGAUUUAAUAUAAAAAAAAUAACUAGCUAAUUAAUUAAUUACCUGCUACUGGAAGCGCGAGACUUGCUUCUGUUAGCAGCUGCUUCUCCUUUCUGUCUGCCCAUUUUCUUCGCCCUCUAUUUGUUCUUAAACGAAGCGUCUCCGGAGAAGGAUGAUUUUUGGAGGUUUUAGCGAGAGAGAGAGAGAGAUUUUCUGAAUUUGAAGCUGGAGAUACUUUUCUAGCACGGAAGGAGAAAGGAGGGCUAAGUGUUUGAACGACAUGUCAUUUUUCAUGGAACCCAUUGGAUGAUGAGUCGUCUAGUCUGAUUUGGGGGAGCAUGGGUGUAUAUGUUUUUUUCUUGAAGAUUGAUUUUUUUAUAAAUACAACGAUAAGAGUAUUUUAAAACUUUUUUCAUGAUAAGUUUCUUUUCUUAUAAUAUUUUAUUAUAUUUAAAUAUGAGACUAUGUAAAAUUAAAUAUUAUUUUUCUUCAAGCAUAUUAAUUCAAUAGUUUGUUAUUCAUCCUUUAAAAAAAAAGAGAAUGAAUCAUUAGUCUUUUAAAUAUUGUGAAUUGUACAUGCUAAUUUAAUUACUAAUUAGAUUUAUGUGGAUUAGAAUUGUUUGAUUAUUAAUACUUUUAAUUAUAAUAUAGUUAUUGAUUGGACAUUGAAUCUUUGUAACUUGAUUGGUUUAAUGCAUAUAGAACAUCUAAAUAUAAUAAUGAUAUUUUUUUUACUUUAAAAAUAUAAAAAUUACUUAAAACAUUUUAUAGAGAGAAAUUAAUUUUAUAUUUUUGUCCUUGUCUUUUCAUCAAGCAUAUUUUCAUGUUCUAUAUAUUUAUUAUUUUCAGACACUAACUAAAUAUAUAGAUGUUGAGUUGUGAAAUUGCUCAAGUGUUAUUACUCCAUUUGGUGAUUAUAUCAAGCAAUAAAUAACAGGAAAUUAGGGCAAACAAUUCCUCUAAUCCAAAUGGACUCGAGUAACCUGAUAAAUCUACCUACAACUUGAUUAACUUCAUCAAACUUGAAUGAGACUUGAUCAAGUUAACUAUAAUGAAUUUUUUAAGAAAAUUGGAAUGAUUAUUUUUAAACAAAUAAUUAACUCAGGUCGACUUGAUGAUUUACAGGUUAACUUGGCAAUCCAAUGAUAGAAGCCCUGAAUUGAGUCAGAUCCCAUGCCAGGUUAGACAACUAUCGCCAAGAUCAUUGCUUCGCAUGUCCAAUGUGGGAUCAUGAAGCACAAGAUUGCCAGUUUUGUUACUUUUGUAGACUGAAUUCUUAGAAGCUGUAUUUCUAGCCAGUACGAGAGAAGAGUUGAGAGUGAGAGUUGUACACAUACAAAUCGGAAAAAUGCUAUAAAUUAUUUUUUGUUCUUUCAAAGAAAUAAUAUAUGCAUUCUCGUGUGAGCAUGGAGAAAUUGAUGUACAAAUGUAAAUGCUCAGAGUCCAAUUUUUAUUGUCCAUAUAAGAAAAUUACAAUCAAAGAUGCAAUCAAGGAAUGAUCUACAGAUCCAGGAAAUAUGGUUAAUCGAUAUUUACUCCGCCGGGCAUAAAUCUGGUGAAGCUUGUACAUGAGACUAGUCUGCAUCAAACCAAAUGUGAUAUUAGAAUCUGUAUUUGAUAUCACAAAACAGUGAUCAUAACAUGAACUUCCCAUAUCAUGAAAAGCAGGAACUUCUAAUGCAAGAGAUUAAGCAGAAUCCAUGGCUGGUGAGCUAUAUACAGACCAUAAACAGAAGGAAACCAUUUUAACAGGACUGAACAGCGAUGACUUUAAUGAAUAGUUCGAGAAAAGCAUCCAUUAAGAUUGGAAAGAAGAGAAAAAUCCAUCGCAACAGAAUAAUAUAUGCACAUGAAUAGCACAAAGCACCCUGAUGUGGAGUGAUUGACAUCGAACAUUAUAGAUACUGCUGUGAUUAUCUACCUAAAUAUGGGGUAGAUAAUUCAAAUGCAGAGGCAAGUACAGAAAAUGAGUUUAAAGCAAUCUUCAAAGAAGAUGAAUAAUCCAUAAUUAAGCUAGCUUGCGAAAGUUGAAGCAGCUUAUCAGGAUUUUUUUAAGCGAAAAAGGAAAGAUUAAAACAAAACGAUUUUUAUUCUUCCAACUAAAUAUAGUAAUUGUUGAUAAUGUUCAUUUCACAUCUACGGGCAAUAUUCUAA
Molecule: long non-coding RNA, 7702 nt
Filed under: Populus trichocarpa (black cottonwood)
Lineage: Eukaryota; Viridiplantae; Streptophyta; Magnoliopsida; Malpighiales; Salicaceae
Description: long non-coding RNA (PTRI_LNC004282)
Source: RNAcentral